GAUGAACGCUGGCGGCGUGCCUAAUACAUGCAAGUCGAGCGAACAGACGAGGAGCUUGCUCCUCUGACGUUAGCGGCGGACGGGUGAGUAACACGUGGAUAACCUACCUAUAAGACUGGGAUAACUUCGGGAAACCGGAGCUAAUACCGGAUAAUAUAUUUAACCGCAUGGUUCAAUAGUGAAAGACGGUUUUGCUGUCACUUAUAGAUGGAUCCGCGCCGCAUUAGCUAGUUGGUAAGGUAACGGCUUACCAAGGCAACGAUGCGUAGCCGACCUGAGAGGGUGAUCGGCCACACGGGAACUGAGACACGGUCCAGACUCCUACGGGAGGAAGCAGAAGGGAAUCUUCCGCAAUGGGCGAAAGCUUGACGGAGAAAGGCCGCGUGAGUGAUGAAGGUCUUCGGAUCGUAAAACUCUGUUAUUAGGGAAGAACAAAUGUGUAAGUAACUAUGCACGUCUUGACGGUACCUAAUCAGAAAGCCACGGCUAACUACGUG
RNAcentral lists this ribosomal RNA (497 nucleotides) under uncultured bacterium. RNAcentral's name for it is "partial 16S ribosomal RNA". It matches the Rfam family "Bacterial small subunit ribosomal RNA", at positions 28 to 507 of the family's 1533-position model. The record is from RNAcentral.